GCAGUUCAGUGGUAGAGCAUCUGCUUUGCAUGCAGAAAGUCUUGGUUUAAUCCCCGGCAUCUCCA
Molecule: transfer RNA, 65 nt
Filed under: Podarcis lilfordi (Lilford's wall lizard)
Lineage: Eukaryota; Metazoa; Chordata; Lepidosauria; Squamata; Lacertidae
Description: tRNA.Ala
Rfam family: tRNA
About the family: Transfer RNA (tRNA) molecules are approximately 80 nucleotides in length.
Source: RNAcentral